CGGAGGUGUAGAGAGUAGCGGAGGUGUAGAGAGUAGUGGAGGUGUAGAGAGUAGUGGAGGUGGAGCGAGUAGUGGAGGUGUAGAGAGUAGUGGAGGUGGAGGGAGUAGCGGAGGUGGAGCGAGUAGCGGAGGUGUAGAGAGUAGCGGAGGUGUAGAGAGUAGCGGAGGUGUAGAGAGUAGCGGAGGUGUAGAGAGUAGCGGAGGUGUAGAGAGUAGUGGAGGUGUAGAGAGUAGUGGAGGUGGAGGGAGUAGCGGAGGUGGAGCGAGUAGCGGAGGUGGAGCGAGU
Long non-coding RNA from Oncorhynchus keta (chum salmon), 286 nucleotides. RefSeq lists it as uncharacterized. NCBI's taxonomy places the organism in Eukaryota, Metazoa, Chordata, Actinopteri, Salmoniformes, Salmonidae. The transcript has 4 exons. The record is from RefSeq and is a predicted model, not a curated record.